GGAUCUCGGCAAUGGAUAUCUGGGCUCUGGCAUCGAUGAAGAACGUAGCGAAAUGCGAUACUUGGUGUGAAUUGUAGAAUCCCACGAGCCAUCGAGUCUUUCAACGCAAGCUGCGCCCGAAGCCAUUAGGUUGAGGGCACGUCAGCCUGGGCGUCU
Molecule: non-coding RNA, 156 nt
Organism: Camellia sinensis
Lineage: Eukaryota; Viridiplantae; Streptophyta; Magnoliopsida; Ericales; Theaceae
Source: RefSeq, a predicted model, not a curated record